This 468-nucleotide ribosomal RNA is filed under the name uncultured bacterium. RNAcentral describes it as "partial 16S ribosomal RNA". It matches the Rfam family "Bacterial small subunit ribosomal RNA", at positions 28 to 507 of the family's 1533-position model. The record is from RNAcentral.
GACGAACGCUGGCGGCGUGCUUAACACAUGCCAGUCGAACGGAAAGGCCCUGCUUUUGUGGGGUGCUCGAGUGGCGAACGGGUGCGUAACACGUGAGUAACCUGCCCUAGACUUUGGGAUAACUUCAGGAAACUGGGGCUAAUACCGGAUAGGAGCUCCUGCUGCAUGGUGGGCGUUGGAAAGUUUCGGCGGUUGGGGAUGGACUCGCGGCUUAUCAGCUUGUUGGUGGGGUAGUGGAUUACCAAGGCUUUGACGGGUAGGCGGCCUGAGAGGGGGACCGGCCACAAUGGGACUGAGAGACGGCCCAGACUCCUACGGGGGGCAGCAGUGGGGAAUAUUGCACAAUGGGCGGGAGCCUGAUGCAGCAACGCCGCGUGCGGGAUGACGGCCUUCGGGUUGUAAACCGCUUUCGCCUGUGACGAAGCGUGAGUGACGGUAAUGGGUAAAGAAGCACCGGCUAACUACGUG